ACGCNGGCGGCGGGUCUACACAUGCAAGUCGAGGGACGAACCGAGUGCUUGCACUUGGGGAAACCGGCGAACGGGUGAGUAACACGUGAGGAACCUGCCCUGUACACCGGGAUAACUACGGGAAACCGUGGCUAAUACCGGAUGCUCCACCGUGAUCGCAUGAUCGUGGUGGGAAAGCUCAGGCGGUACAGGAGGGCCUCGCGGCGUAUCAGCUAGUUGGUGGGGUAAUGGCCCACCAAGGCUACGACGCGUAGCUGGAGUGAGAGCUCGAACAGCCACACUGGGACUGAGACACGGCCCAGACUCCUACGGGAGGCAGCAGUGGAGAAUCUUGCGCAAUGGGCGAAAGCCUGACGCAGCCACGCCGCGUGCGGGAAGAAGGCCUUCGGGUCGUAAACCGCUUUCAGGAGGGAAGAAGCGAAAGUGACGGUACCUCCAGAAGAAGGUCCGGCUAACUACGUGCCAGCAGCCGCGGUAAUACGUAGGGACCGAGCGUUGUCCGGAUUUAUUGGGCGUAAAGCGCAUGUAGGCGGCCCUGUAAGUCGAUUGUGAAAUCCCGAGGCUCAACUUCGGAACUGCAGUCGAUACUGCAAGGCUUGAGGAAGGUAGAGGAGAGUGGAAUUCCCGGUGUAGCGGUGGAAUGCGCAGAUAUCGGGAGGAACACCAAUGGCGAAGGCAGCUCUCUGGGCCUUUCCUGACGCUGAGAUGCGAAAGCGUGGGUAGCGAACAGGAUUAGAUACCCUGGUAGUCCACGCCGUAAACGAUGGGUGCUAGAUGUGGGGAUCAGUUCACG
Molecule: ribosomal RNA, 793 nt
Filed under: uncultured bacterium
Lineage: Bacteria
Description: bacterial SSU rRNA
Rfam family: Bacterial small subunit ribosomal RNA
Source: RNAcentral